AGUGAACGCUGGCGGUAGGCCUAACACAUGCAAGUCGAACGGCAGCACAGUAAGAGCUUGCUCUUACGGGUGGCGAGUGGCGGACGGGUGAGGAAUACAUCGGAAUCUACUUUUUCGUGGGGGAUAACGUAGGGAAACUUACGCUAAUACCGCAUACGACCUACGGGUGAAAGCAGGGGAUCUUCGGACCUUGCGCGAUUGAAUGAGCCGAUGUCGGAUUAGCUAGUUGGCGGGGUAAAGGCCCACCAAGGCGACGAUCCGUAGCUGGUCUGAGAGGAUGAACAGCCACACUGGAACUGAGACACGGUCCAGACUCCUACGGGAGGCAGCAGUGGGGAAUAUUGGACAAUGGGCGCAAGCCUGAUCCAGCCAUACCGCGUGGGUGAAGAAGGCCUUUGGGUUGUAAAGCCCUUUUGUUGGGAAAGAAAAGCAGCAGGUUAAUACCCCGCUGUUCUGACGGUACCCAAAGAAUAAGCACCGGCUAACUUCGUG
This 492-nucleotide ribosomal RNA is filed under the name uncultured bacterium. Its description in RNAcentral is "partial 16S ribosomal RNA". It matches the Rfam family "Bacterial small subunit ribosomal RNA", at positions 29 to 507 of the family's 1533-position model. The record is from RNAcentral.